AUGAACGCUGGCGGCGUGCCUAAUACAUGCAAGUCGCGCGAACGGACGAGAAGCUUGCUUUUCUGAUGUUAGCGGCGGACGGGUGAGUAACACGUGGAUAACCUACCUAUAAGACUGGGAUAACUUCGGGAAACCGGAGCUAAUACCGGAUAAUAUUUUGAACCGCAUGGUUCAAAAGUGAAAGACGGUCUUGCUGUCACUUAUAGAUGGAUCCGCGCUGCAUUAGCUAGUUGGUAAGGUAACGGCUUACCAAGGCAACGAUGCAUAGCCGACCUGAGAGGGUGAUCGGCCACACUGGAACUGAGACACGGUCCAGACUCCUACGGGAGGCAGCAGUAGGGAAUCUUCCGCAAUGGGCGAAAGCCUGACGGAGCAACGCCGCGUGAGUGAUGAAGGUCUUCGGAUCGUAAAACUCUGUUAUUAGGGAAGAGCAUAUGUGUAAGUAACUGUGCACAUCUUGACGGUACCUAAUCAGAAAGCCACGGCUAACUACGUG
Molecule: ribosomal RNA, 496 nt
Filed under: uncultured bacterium
Lineage: Bacteria
Description: partial 16S ribosomal RNA
Rfam family: Bacterial small subunit ribosomal RNA
Source: RNAcentral